UGUGAUAUUCUGGAAGGCAAACUGUGUUUGGAAGGAAGAUUUUGGAAGGAAGUGGUGCAUGAUAAAGUUUCUGAAAUUUUCAAGUCUCUUGGACUUGGUUGUUCCUGCUUUUGGUUCUGCUUAGGACUGGUAGUGAUGAGUUCUCUGCUUUGACAUAUUCUUUUCGGUAUCACUUUGGGAUUGGACAAUGUGGUAUUGCUGAAAGAUUAUAUUGGGAUUCUUUAUAUUUUAGUAUGAUAUCUUUGUUCCAUUUGACAGUGGAGAAAAAGUUGAUCUCCUACUAUUUAUUAUUUCUAGUUAUAACUGAAGAUGAUUAGUUGUUGAUUUGUUAGCUUGCACAAUCUCGUAAAUCUAUUUGGGUAAUAUGUUGAUUUUAUUUUUUUAGGAAUAGUAUUGUGUCUUUUAGUUUUCUGAUUAAUCUGACGUACUAGUCAUGAAUGAGCAGAUGACUUGUUUGUCUUUCUCCCUACUUGAGUUUCAUGUUCUGCUAGUGGUUUAUUCUUAGUUAGUACUGAAUUCAAAUUGCUGGGAUUGAUGCUCUUGCUGAUUGUGUAUUUGUAUCAGUGGCUUCAUUAGCUUGCAAUUACAUGUUUUUGGGUUCACUAAAGUCUUGUUGUUUAUAGUUGAGUUAAUCGCAUGUUUUUGUGUACGGUGGUUCUAGUUUUCAAAGUAAUAAGUAAAUCUUGUUUAUGGAGGAAGGUCCUUACAUGUCUUGAGGUUUGGUAGAAGUACAAGGUUCUUCGGUUUUGUUACUGUGUGUUCUGUUAUGAUCUGUUCAAGAGUCGGACUUAUGAGUAGAAGCGUUUAUUAAAUUCUCUAUGUCUGGGUACUUUUGAUUUCCCGAUUUGUGCGGUGGGAGCACGAAAACUAUAUAUUGGUCUGUUUAAAAUGGUCUGUUUUCUAGGAUAUUGUUUGAAACUGCUCUUCCUCUGUAGUGUUUAAAGUGUUGAUCCUCAUGAACUUGGGUCUCAUUCAUUUUUCAUGUUCCUUAAGGAUUACUCACGUUUCUUGUUUAUGGUUUGACUACAGCUCCAACAUUUAAACUAGCACUGUGAAACCUCUUGGCUUUCAAUUUUGGUGUAUGCAGUUUGUUUUUGUUCGUAGCCUUAUGAUGUUCCCUGAUUGCACACUUUGCAGGUAUUUCAAAGGUCCUGAGAUUCUUGUUGAUUUACAAGAUUAUGACUAUUCUUUGGACUAGUGGAUUCUCGGUUGUAUGCUUGCUGGAAUGGUCCAUGAAGGUGCAUUUGGUUCUAUUGGUGAUGAUCAGUCACUUCUUAAAUACUUGGAAUCUCUGGGACAACAUCAGUAACAAGCAUGUCCGUAAUUGGUCAUCAAAGAGAGGUAGGGCUUUAAAGCAUCAAUUCAAGCUUGGUGAGCAGCUU
Molecule: long non-coding RNA, 1382 nt
Organism: Rosa rugosa (rugosa rose)
Lineage: Eukaryota; Viridiplantae; Streptophyta; Magnoliopsida; Rosales; Rosaceae
Exons: 3
Source: RefSeq, a predicted model, not a curated record